CCGAAUUCGUCGACAACAGAGUUUGAUCCUGGCUCAGGACGAACGCUGGCGGCGUGCUUAACACAUGCAAGUCGAACGGUAAGGCCCCUUCGGGGGUACACGAGUGGCGAACGGGUGAGUAACACGUGGGUAAUCUGCCCUGCACUUCGGGAUAAGCCUGGGAAACCGGGUCUAAUACCGGAUAUGAACUCCUGCCGCAUGGUGGGGGUUGGAAAGUUUUUCGGUGCAGGAUGAGCCCGCGGCCUAUCAGCUUGUUGGUGGGGUAAUGGCCUACCAAGGCGACGACGGGUAGCCGGCCUGAGAGGGUGAUCGGCCACACUGGGACUGAGACACGGCCCAGACUCCUACGGGAGGCAGCAGUGGGGAAUAUUGCACAAUGGGCGAAAGCCUGAUGCAGCGACGCCGCGUGGGGGAUGACGGUCUUCGGAUUGUAAACCCCUUUCAGUAGGGACGAAGCGCAAGUGACGGUACCUGCAGAAGAAGCACCGGCUAACUACGUGCCAGCAGCCGCGGUAAUACGUAGGGUGCGAGCGUUGUCCGGAAUUACUGGGCGUAAAGAGCUCGUAGGCGGUUUGUCACGUCGUCUGUGAAAUCCCUCGGCUUAACCGGGGGCGUGCAGGCGAUACGGGCAGACUUGAGUACUACAGGGGAGACUGGAAUUCCUGGUGUAGCGGUGAAAUGCGCAGAUAUCAGGAGGAACACCGGUGGCGAAGGCG
RNAcentral lists this ribosomal RNA (716 nucleotides) under Dietzia sp. 'Mali 88-02'. RNAcentral describes it as "partial 16S ribosomal RNA". It matches the Rfam family "Bacterial small subunit ribosomal RNA", at positions 1 to 723 of the family's 1533-position model. The record is from RNAcentral. Lineage: Bacteria; Bacillati; Actinomycetota; Actinomycetes; Mycobacteriales; Dietziaceae.